GAAGAGAUGUUAUGAGAGAAAUGAUCGCUAAAAGAAGAAUCAAAGAAUGGAAAAUAAAGGAGCAAGGGUAUGAGUCUUACCUCUCAAGAAGAGAAGUCAAAUUGGACAAUAAACUUGCAAUAACAAAAGAGGAUACAGUAGCAACAAUCUCGCAGUCUUCUCUCAAAAAUCACUCAAUUUCCUCACCGAAAUGCUCUCAACUCUCUCAAGUUUUCUCUCUUUUAAGAAUGAAAAAAAAUGAAGAAAGAAGAAGCUUAAAUAGGCAAGACAAUAGCAAUGUGAUCCAUCCAAUCACAUGCAGAAAAAACUAGUCGCUAAUUGGGUUAGUGGCUGACCAAGUUGGUUCGACUUGACUAUGGUGCUCCAUAUGGCAAAGAGGAGCUGCAGGGGAGGUGAUGGCUUGCAAUGUGCAGUCUAUUAGCCAAUGAUGCUCGGGCAAAGCUUUUCUGUGUCUGCAGUUGCGUGCAUGGCUUGUUGCAUAGGCAUGGGAAAAACUCCCGUGCAUCCUAUGGGUUUUGCUCGCAUGUUGUGCUCACAACACAAGCCUAUUACAGAAAUUACCCGCAUGUGGGGAAAAUUGUUCCACAGGUCGAGUCCGCGUGUUAGCAAGGCAGGUGUCGUGGAUAGG
RNAcentral lists this long non-coding RNA (628 nucleotides) under Carica papaya (papaya). Its description in RNAcentral is "long non-coding RNA (CPAP_LNC001473)". Lineage: Eukaryota; Viridiplantae; Streptophyta; Magnoliopsida; Brassicales; Caricaceae. The record is from RNAcentral.